Molecule: long non-coding RNA, 2328 nt
Filed under: Gallus gallus (chicken)
Lineage: Eukaryota; Metazoa; Chordata; Aves; Galliformes; Phasianidae
Source: RNAcentral
CGCUGCAGUUCCGUUCCCCGGGAUCGUUCACCAUCAUUAAUUGUUGAUUUGUUUUGAAGAAGAGAUAGUGAUUUAUUUGCAGCGGGAUGAAGUUACAGACCUAGAUUCCUGACCAGAGGCUCUCAACGUAAACAAUGCACAACCUAUAAAUUAACCAUUCUCCAUCUGGCGAUUCCGAUGUAAAAUUCAUAGUUUUUCACCUCACAGGCAGUGCCAACCCCCUCCCACACACACACACACACACACACACUUCCCUCUCGACUGCUUUCUAACAGAGCUUAAUGCAAAGGGGGAGGGAAAAGGAAGAAAUUUAAAAAAAAAAAAAAAGAAGAAGAAGAAAAAAAAAGCCAGCCAGCAUGAAAGAACCGGGCUGGCACAAGUCCCUCCAUUGCUUUCGUUCAUUAACUUGAACUAGAGAACUGCAUGAGGACAUUCCAAUUUUAAGAAGGGAUGGAGCUGCACAGAACUGCUUUUGACAGCAAAAAGUUGACUGUUCUACCAACUUCCAUAUCUACAGAUUGCUUCAGAGGAACUGUUGAGCAAAUCCCUUCAUGCAGAUAUCACUGGAGUCUGGAAAAGGGCCAGCAGAACUAACAGAGAAUUUGAAUGGAAGCCAACUGACUUUUUUUAAAAUUUCUAACAUUAAAGGGCAAUAUUUCCCCUUUUUUUACCAUGUCUAUCUGAACUCACUUAAUGCAGUAGGUUUGUGAAAAGGAUCCUUUUGUUUCCAGAGCAGGCACAGUCACUUUUCCCUUGUUUCUCUCCUACAACUCUUGAACAAUUGUAUCAAAAUAUUUUACUAGAAAAACAAUUAUAAUAGGCUACCACAUUCUGUUUCUGUACUAAGCCCUUCACACCAAUAAGGUUUUUGCCACGUAGGAGGGAGAGUUAAUGCCUAUAUGCUCUUCCUACUUGCAAGCAAAGUGAUUUGUUUCAAAGAGAAAAAAAUAGCUCAUUUACUGGUUGGGUUCUUGAAUUGAAUAACUGAAGUUACUAUGAACAUGAGUUACUUUGCAACUAAUUUUAGCAUCUCGUGUCUGAAGUAAGCCACAUGGAAACAGUGACUUAAGAUGGCUGGAAUUUUAGACUCAUGCUGUGAGUUCUGUUGCCAGCGUUGUCUCUUGUAAACAAAAAGCUGAUUAAGAUACGGUGAUGCUCAGAAGGUAUCUUUAACAAAUAUACAGUACUAAUUCUGAAGUUUAGUAAGUAACACUUCAAUAUUAAUGCUAACUAAUCUGACUACCAAAUAUAUCUAUCUGUGUCUGUCUUGUUUUGCCAAUAAAAAUACUGGAGUCUGUAAUUAGUCUGUGAUAUUUUAUUAUUAAAAAACAAACAAACAAAAAAAUGAAGGUGAGAUGUUACUUAUGAGGACCAUGACUGAAGGAAGCAUUUCACGCUGCCUCUUUCUCAUGUAACUAGUUAACAUCUACAGCAGUACACUAUUAAGAUUAAAUGACUUAAAGGAAGUCUUUCUAUUAAAACAGUAACUACUAUGGCCUCCCUGAACAUGCCAUCUCCCCUUAUCUGUAGAUACAUUUUUAUUGCUCACCACUCUUCUCCCUAUGGAAUUCUAAAGACACAUUUGGGAAGAGGGCAAUAAAAUGUUUCAUGUUGCACUACACAAGUAGAAAAUGUCAUUUACAUUGUUAAUGUUCCCAACAGAAUGUGUCUCUUUACUGCUGUUAGAAUUUGUGCUUUAUUUUGGUACCAACUAGUGCAUCUUUUCUGCUUCAGCUACACAGUCUAACCAUCUUGCUGCAUGAUAGAAUUAACACACAAACCUUUAAGGCUUCAAAUACCAGGUAAGUGUGUUGAUUUUGUUAUUGCUUUGUUUAUUGUUGUUGUUUGUUUUACAUCCUAGUGUGGCUUAACUUAGUUUUGUUACCAAGUGUCAUGGAAUCUUCUUGCUAACCACUGUCCACCCCAACUAUCUGUACAAUGUAUGCUUACAACUAAUAUCACCUCAUGCAGACAGUGUCUAAAAACCCACAGUAAUUAGAAAUAUAUAUAUAUUCCUCUCUCAAUGCCUUGCUGACGGUACAGAAUUAGUAUUUUGGGAGUCUGUACCAGCAGUCUUUCUUUCCCUGGUGAUAGCUCAGUUUGUCAGUGAAUUAAAUUAGUUUCUCCUCUGAGAUACCUUUAAUUGAUUUAAAUGCUUUUCACACUUAAUUGAGAUGUAGGAUGGGAGGUUGGAAAGGAGAUUCUGUAAUCUAAACAUGCUUAAGCAAUGCUUUUAGUAUGACAAAAUGGGGAAAAUAUUCAAGAGGGAAAUGCUUUUGUUGUAAGUAGUGUCUGAAAGGUAAAAAUUUCAGUUGUUAAACCUCAAGU